Molecule: unclassified non-coding RNA, 22 nt
Filed under: Mus musculus (house mouse)
Lineage: Eukaryota; Metazoa; Chordata; Mammalia; Rodentia; Muridae
Description: oocyte_clustered_small_RNA1004
Source: RNAcentral
AACAGGAUAUCCUCUGCAGGUG